Molecule: ribosomal RNA, 441 nt
Filed under: uncultured bacterium
Lineage: Bacteria
Description: partial 16S ribosomal RNA
Rfam family: Bacterial small subunit ribosomal RNA
Source: RNAcentral
CCUACGGGAGGCAGCAGUGGGGAAUAUUGCACAAUGGGCGAAAGCCUGAUGCAGCGACGCCGCGUGAGUGAAGAAGUAUUUCGGUAUGUAAAGCUCUAUCAGCAGGGAAGAAGAAAGACGGUACCUGACUAAGUAGCCCCGGCUAACUACGUGCCAGCAGCCGCGGUAAUACGUAGGGGGCAAGCGUUAGCCGGAUUUACUGGGUGUAAAGGGAGCGUAGACGGGUGUGCAAGUCUGAAGUGAAAGCCCAGGGCUCAACCCUGGGACUGCUUUGGAAACUGUGGAGCUAGAGUGCUGGAGAGGUAAGUGGAAUUCCUAGUGUAGCGGUGAAAUGCGUAGAUAUUAGGAGGAACACCAGUGGCGAAGGCGGCUUGCUGGACAGUAACUGACGUUGAGGCUCGAAAGCGUGGGGAGCAAACAGGAUUAGAUACCCUGGUAGUC